GACGAACGCUGGCGGCGUGCCUAAUACAUGCAAGUCGAACGCUGAAGGAGGAGCUUGCUUCUCUGGAUGAGUUGCGAACGGGUGAGUAACGCGUAGGUAACCUGCCUGGUAGCGGGGGAUAACUAUUGGAAACGAUAGCUAAUACCGCAUAACAGUAGAUAUCGCAUGAUAUCUACUUGAAAGUUGCAAUUGCAUCACUACCAGAUGGACCUGCGUUGUAUUAGCUAGUUGGUGAGGUAACGGCUCACCAAGGCGACGAUACAUAGCCGACCUGAGAGGGUGAACGGCCACACUGGGACUGAGACACGGCCCAGACUCCUGCGGGGGGCAGCAGUAGGGAAUCUUCGGAAAAGGACGGAAGUCUGACCGAGGAAAGCCGGGGGGGUGAAGAAGGGUUUCGGAUCGGAAAGCUCUGUUGUAAGGGAAGAACGAGUGUGAGAGUGAAAAGUCCACACUGUGACGGUACCUAAACAGAAAGGAACGGCUAACUACGUG
Molecule: ribosomal RNA, 495 nt
Filed under: uncultured bacterium
Lineage: Bacteria
Description: partial 16S ribosomal RNA
Rfam family: Bacterial small subunit ribosomal RNA
Source: RNAcentral